RNAcentral lists this transfer RNA (88 nucleotides) under Arundinibacter roseus. RNAcentral's name for it is "Cytophaga sp. DMA-K-7a tRNA-Ser". It matches the Rfam family "tRNA". Rfam says of the family: Transfer RNA (tRNA) molecules are approximately 80 nucleotides in length. The record is from RNAcentral. Lineage: Bacteria; Pseudomonadati; Bacteroidota; Cytophagia; Cytophagales; Spirosomataceae.
AGAGAGUUGGCAGAGUGGUCGAAUGCGGCGGUCUUGAAAACCGUUGUGGGGUAACCCACCGGGGGUUCGAAUCCCUCACUCUCUGCAA